UACGUAGGGGGCUAGCGUUGUCCGGAAUCACUGGGCGUAAAGCGUCUGUAGGUGGUCAAAUAAGUCAACUGUUAAAUCUUGAGGCUCAACCUCAAAAUCGCAGUCGAAACUAUUAGACUAGAGUAUAGUAGGGGUAAAGGGAAUUUCCAGUGGAGCGGUGAAAUGCGUAGAGAUUGGAAAGAACACCGAUGGCGAAGGCACUUUACUGGGCUAUUACUAACACUCAGAGACGAAAGCUAGGGUAGCAAAUGGG
RNAcentral lists this ribosomal RNA (253 nucleotides) under uncultured bacterium. RNAcentral describes it as "partial 16S ribosomal RNA". It matches the Rfam family "Bacterial small subunit ribosomal RNA", at positions 524 to 776 of the family's 1533-position model. The record is from RNAcentral.